GUUGUGGCUCAGUGGUAGAGCAUCUGCUUGGCAUGCAAAAGUUCCCAGGUUCAAUCCUGAGCAUCUCCC
Molecule: transfer RNA, 69 nt
Filed under: Sphaerodactylus townsendi
Lineage: Eukaryota; Metazoa; Chordata; Lepidosauria; Squamata; Sphaerodactylidae
Description: tRNA-Ala
Rfam family: tRNA
About the family: Transfer RNA (tRNA) molecules are approximately 80 nucleotides in length. Their secondary structure includes four short double-helical elements and three loops (D, anti-codon, and T loops). Further hydrogen bonds mediate the characteristic L-shaped molecular structure. tRNAs have two regions of fundamental functional importance: the anti-codon, which is responsible for specific mRNA codon recognition, and the 3' end, to which the tRNAs corresponding amino acid is attached (by aminoacyl-tRNA synthetases). tRNAs cope with the degeneracy of the genetic code in two manners: having more than one tRNA (with a specific anti-codon) for a particular amino acid; and 'wobble' base-pairing, i.e. permitting non-standard base-pairing at the 3rd anti-codon position.
Source: RNAcentral